RNAcentral lists this ribosomal RNA (497 nucleotides) under uncultured bacterium. RNAcentral's name for it is "partial 16S ribosomal RNA". It matches the Rfam family "Bacterial small subunit ribosomal RNA", at positions 28 to 507 of the family's 1533-position model. The record is from RNAcentral.
GAUGAACGCUGGCGGCGUGCCUAAUACAUGCAAGUCGAGCGAACAGAUGAGGAGCUUGCUCCUCUGACGUUAGCGGCGGACGGGUGAGUAACACGUGGAUAACCUACCUAUAAGACUGGGAUAACUUCGGGAAACCGGAGCUAAUACCGGAUAAUAUAUUGAACCGCAUGGUUCAAUAGUGAAAGACGGUUUUGCUGUCACUUAUAGAUGGAUCCGCGCCGCAUUAGCUAGUUGGUAAGGUAACGGCUUACCAAGGCAACGAUGCGUAGCCGACCUGAGAGCGUGAACGGCCACACUGUAACUGAGACACGGCCCAGACUCCUACGGGAGGAAGCAGUAGGGAAUCUUCCGCGAUGGGCGAAAGCCUGACGGAGCAACGCCGCGUGAGUGAUGAAGGUCUUCGGAUCGGAAAACUCUGUUAUUAUGGAAGAAGAAAUGUGUAAGUAACUAUGCUCGUCUUGACGGUACCUAAUCAGAAAGCCACGGCUAACUACGUG